Molecule: long non-coding RNA, 3047 nt
Organism: Corvus hawaiiensis (hawaiian crow)
Lineage: Eukaryota; Metazoa; Chordata; Aves; Passeriformes; Corvidae
Exons: 3
Source: RefSeq, a predicted model, not a curated record
GCAGGAGCUGUGGACACUUUUCAAGGUCAAAGCCAAGACUUGUCUCCAGGAGGGUUGGGAGUGAGCAGUGCCGCAGCAGAGGCAAAGACACACAGUGCCUCUGCUGACUCAUCACCUCACUGCUGCUUGUGCUGACAGGUUGUCCUGGAUCCCUGCCAGCUCCCCUUGCAAUUCUGCAAGAAAUCCUUCUCCAGGAUGGUGUUUUCUUUCUGCCUGUAUGAUAUUGCCUCUAGAGGGAUGCAGCACAGCUGUUGAAUGAGUCCACGUGCUUUUUCAAAAAAUCCUGACAACAUCUUUGGAUUUCACUGAAUUGUUCCACAAGUGAAAAGUGGAUUUCACUUUGUAGGAGCCUUAAUCCAGUGGAGAAUACAACAUGUGGCUAAAGAAGUUGGGAAUCCCUUGUGAGUAUCCUUCAGAAUAGAUAGAAUAAGAUGGAAAGUUCAUUGCAUCUCGUUUUGAACCAAAAUGUGUCCUAUCACUUUAAAUGAAUGGCUUUACUUGGUGGCCAUUGUGACCAAAGAAAGUUGUCGUGGAAACCUUGAUAGGAUAAUAACUACCUGGACAGAGCUAUAAGGCCCCAGACACUGUGUAAUCAGGUGGCCAUUUAUUCUGGAAGAUACGUAUUUCUGUCUAGUAAAGGAGAAUGGAAUCAGUUGGUUAAAAUGCAUCUGCUGUAGUAGGAUCCAGUAAUGAGAUACAAACACUUUUUCUUGUCUAUCAAAGACAAUUACUGCAUGGCACUUUGAUUUAUUCACUGGUAAAAAUAUUCUAAAGCUGUUUAGAGGAGCCCAAGUGUGGAUGCUAAAGAAGGUUUUAUUCCGGAAGUUAAUUUUGCUCAAAGUUCUCCUCCCUUCCACAUUGUCUGUGCUCGUAAUUACCAUGAUUGUGUUCUUUCCUGUUAGGCUGGAUAUCUCUGUACUGCACUGCAUUCCACAGUGUACACAUAACCAAAGUGCCAAUUACACCACUUGAGAUAAGUAUUAUCCUGUACAAAAAGAAUGUGCUUAAUUGGUCUUGUUUAAUUUGAGCAUUUCACAGUGUAAGUGCAAAGGGCUAAAAUAAUCACACAAUUGUAGUUGAAAAUGUUUAAAAAGUACUUGAAGUACUUUUGUGAAACAGAUGAUAGGGAAGCUUAUCCAGUCCUCUGAGUCAUACUACUCUGGUUAUCCAGGAAUUCAAGCUGAAUGUGGAUACUUCCAUAUAGUUUUUUGAGCAGUUUCCUGAAUUUGUCACGUUUUUAUGUAGUUACCACAAGAGAAGGAAGAUGGGAACUGAAAAAAGGCAUGUUUUUUUUUCAAACUGAGUACUAGGAGUCUGAAUCUUUCCAGGAUCAUGGUUUGCCCUUUAAAGUUAUAUAAGAUAACCAUUCAGAUGCAUCCACUUAUUUACACUGGCAUCAUGUUGGAGACAGUUGUGUCUUAGAUUGUAGACAUCCCUUGUAGGAUGGUUAAAAAUAAAAUUGCAAUUCAAACUGGCUCCCUCUGAGUUUCAUAACUGUCAUGAAAGCAAUCUGUUCACACAGUACUGCUAUACAGCAGGACUGGAUGCAGUCAGGAUGUGAAUAAGGGUGCUAUUGAACAGCACAACACACCCUCUGUAAUGUGACAUGGAGAGCACAUCAAUCUGUGCAGAGCAAAUAGGGUCGAGCAGGAACUGUAGCUCCUUUAUGUGCCCCUGGUAAAUAUGUCCUUCCUCUGAAAGCAAAAAUGCUAAAAAUAUAGGUAUAUAGGGCUUCCAAAAGAAUGGACUUUGCUAUUUGGUCUUCAAAGCUAACGCUUAUCCAAUUUUGGUCAAAUAUCUGCAUGCAUGAGGCAAAUCAGUGGAUCCAGUCAAGUGGUUCGUACUCUGUAAGAAUCCCUAAAUAAUAUUCCUUUGAGCAGAUAUUUACUCAAUGGAAAAAAAAACAUGUAUGAACAGAAAAUAAUUGAGUGGAGGAUCAUUUUUGCACAGGUGCUGCAGAAGAGUGAGGAGAGAGUCUGCGUUUUUUUCCCCAAGUAAUUUUUCUGCAGAGUAACAGAUUCGUGAAACAACCUGUGUGAUGGCUGAGUGUAAGGUAACUCCACAACCACAAACGUAGCCAAGUUGUUCCUUUUUUGAGAACAUUGGGUUGUGUACAGAUGUGUUUGUCUCUCUGAAGAGAACAAGUAGUCUAACAGGGUCUGUUAAAAGCAUCUGUAAGACCCCUAGAUAUUUACAUAAUCAAAUGAAAAUCUAAAUCUUGACUUCACCUACAAAUGGAUUGGAUUCCUGCUGUUUGGCCUUAACUCAGGAUCAAUUUAGAGUCUGGUUUUUGCUAUCCUUACUCAAAUACAUGCCCCUUGGAGGACAAACCAGUUAGAGUUUGUGAGGUCGUGUCUUCUUACUCUCAUCAGAGCCUUAAAAAUAGCAGUACAAUACAGUAUUUAGUCCUGCACAUGAAAGGUUUAGGUGUUAGAAUGGAUGAUUGUUUCAUGUUACAAACCUGUUAAAGACUGCUUUGUUAUCUGAAUGAGCUAAAACCAGGUAUGUCUGCUAUAUAAAUUGUGGUAAUAGCCCAGCCAUGAAGUAAAUGUCCCCCAAGACAGAUCCAGCCACUGAAUGAUUCUAACUGCAGUAUAAUUCACUAAUGUGAACAGGAUAGCAGUUCACAGUCAUAUAAUGACUGAAUCAUUACUGUGGAAACGUAUAUUGCUAUUUCUACCACAAAUCCUGCACUGGUUUGCAUGUCUUAAGGAGACUCUGUUCUUUUGGAAUGUUUUCUAUCUGUAUUCAGUGUUGUAUUUUUAACCUUCAACAAUUUAAAAAAAAAAACCAAAAAGGAUAUCCUUACGAUUUGUUUUCCAAAAAAGCAUGGUGUACAAUCUUGGCUUGAGACAAUUUCAUAUCUAAUUAUGAACUGGGAAAUAAUUAUAAUUUUUCUAAGUGUUGGGAGAGAAUGAAGAAAACAUGUAGUUUGAGUUUACAUUUUAAGCAUUGCAGUUGUGACACUUCUGCAUAAACCGGGUCAAGAUGAUUUGGGUGAUAAGAAGGAACUGCUUAAAAUGUUUUUCACAGUGGUAAGUCCUAGA